UUUGGGCUGUAUCAGGUUGUUUACUGAUUUUAUUAUUGCUUGGGAUAUUUUUCAGAUGGUUUGCUUCAAAAUGUUCAAGGUGUAUUUACUAAGUGGAAAAAGGCUCUUACAUCCUAUCUGAAUGGCAACGAUGAGCAGAUUGAAGUAAUUCUUAAAUUUGAAGAAAUGUGUUUGGAGUCGGCUAAGGAGUUUGCUACAUUGUUCACAACGAUUUUGCACCACUUGUAUAAUGACGAUUUUGUAGAAGAAAAUGCUAUUUUGAGUUGGGAAGAUGAGAAGAAAGAUGCUGAUGAGGCAGAUAAAGUUUUUGUUAAGCAAGCCCAAAAGUUCAUUCAAUGGCUAAAAGAGGCACCCGAAGAAGACGAUGAUGACGAGGAAUGAGAUAGGAUUUUUGAGGGUCCUGUCAUCUCAGCAGCUUAAAAGGGGCUUCAGUGCAUUCAUAUACGCUUUCAAAUGGGUAAUUAUUGACGAGUUUCUGUGCAUAUUAUGUGGAGGAAUUAAUCUUAAGAAAUAUGAAAACCUUAGAAGAUCGUAUCCCUCGAGUUUCACUUACCUGUUAAUUUUUACUCACUCAACAGGUUAAGUGAUGAAACUUUCGAAAUUGAUAUUUUGAUUCCUUGAUCAUUCCUGUACUCAUGCGGUUGAAAAAUACUUAGGCGAACUGUAGUAAUUAUUAGGACAAAUGUAAAAAUAAACUCCUCCAAUUUUGGGUCAUGUAUGAAUUUAAUAAUUAUGUUGGCUUCACUACAUAAGAGAGGUUUAGAAAGAAUUAGGUAUCAUUGUUUACUUCAUCACGAAACUCUACACCCUAUUCGUUAUUUCGUGUUAAUUGAGUAAUUUUCGGUUUCAAAUUGUAAUUCUUUGAUUAACAUUUGGUAUCAUUAUAAAAUAAUUUUACACUGAUUUAUUUACAUUA
This is a non-coding RNA of Vigna umbellata (rice bean), 916 nucleotides long. NCBI's taxonomy places the organism in Eukaryota, Viridiplantae, Streptophyta, Magnoliopsida, Fabales, Fabaceae. The record is from RefSeq and is a predicted model, not a curated record.